This 419-nucleotide ribosomal RNA is filed under the name bacterium. RNAcentral's name for it is "partial 16S ribosomal RNA". It matches the Rfam family "Bacterial small subunit ribosomal RNA", at positions 355 to 776 of the family's 1533-position model. The record is from RNAcentral.
UGGGGGAUAUUGCACAAUGGGCGCAAGCCUGAUGCAGCGACGCCGCGUGGGGGAUGAAGGCCUUCGGGUUGUAAACUUCUUUUGCUCUGAACAAGGCGCACUUUGGGGUGUGUUGAGUGUAGGGGUUGAUUAGCGCCGGCUAACUACGUGCCAGCAGCCGCGGUAAUACGUAGGGCGCGAGCGUUGUCCGGAAUUAUUGGGCGUAAAGGGCUUGUAGGUGGCUGGUUGCGUCUGUCGUGAAAGCUCAUGGCUUAACUGUGGGUUUGCGGUGGGUACGGGCUGGCUUGAGUGCAGUAGGGGAGGCUGGAAUUCCUGGUGUAGCGGUGGAAUGCGCAGAUAUCAGGAGGAAUACCGGUGGCGAAGGCGGGUCUCUGGGCUGUUACUGACACUGAGGAGCGAAAGCAGGGGGAGCGAACAGG